Molecule: long non-coding RNA, 1922 nt
Filed under: Marmota monax (woodchuck)
Lineage: Eukaryota; Metazoa; Chordata; Mammalia; Rodentia; Sciuridae
Source: RNAcentral
UUAUCUCUAAAUUAUGUGUAAUUAUUAAUGUGUAAUUAUUACCUAUUAUAAUAGAAAUGCAAUGUAAAUAGUCGUAAACAUUUUUAGAGAAUAAUAGCAAGAAAAAGUCUGUACAUGUUCACUACACAUGCAAUUUUUUUUUAAAAAAAUAUUUUUUUAGUUUGAAAUGGACACAGUACCUUUAUUUAUUUUAUGUGUUGCUGAGGAUUGAACCCAGUGCCUCAUAUAUGCUAGGCAAUUACUCUAUCACUGAGCUAUAAGCCCAGCUCCUACACAUAUAAUUUUUUCUAAAUAAAAUUUUAAACCAGGGUUAAUUGAAUCUGAAUGUGUAGAGCCAAUGGUAUGCAGCAAAUAUUUACAUCAUUUUUCAUCUACAUUAUCUCAAGUUCUUAUGAGUUUGCUUCUCCCAUAGCCCGUUCAUGCCAAAUCAGAAUGCUUCAAUGGUUUCCCAUCUUAAGUGACCCCAAAUCCAAAGACUUGAUUAUGGCCUACAAAAUACUAUCUGCAUUAAUCCUACUAGUUCUUUGACCUCUUCCCAGACCCCUUUUCCUUGCUCACUCCACUAUAGUCUGUCUGCCUCCUUAGUGUUUCUUAAACAUGCCUGCUUGUUUUCCUCUUUAUGGCCUUUUUACUUGCCAUCUCUUCUGCCUAGAGUUGUUUUCCCCUGAUCUUCUUGUGGAUGCUUUCUCAAAUCACUGUAUCAGAGAUGCCUUCCCUGACCAGUCUGUUUACACAGCAUCCCACACAUUCACUAUUACUGUCUGUCCCCUUUUACCUGUUUUUAUUUCUAUAGCACCUAUCACUCUGUGUGUGUGUGUGUGUGUGUAUACACUUCUUUUUUUCCAAUCCCACUAUCAGAUUUUAAGUUCCUUAAGGGCAGGGAUUUACUUUAUUUCCUAUUUUAACCUUAAUGCCUACAACAGUGCCUCAAUGAAUAAAACUAUUUACCCUAAAGCUUAAAAAAAAAAAAAAAGGUGGGGGGAGAGAGAGACAGACAUUAACAAUCCAAUAACACCCCUUGGUCCCUUAAGGGAAAAUCCAAGUAACACCUUGUAACACCAAGUAACACCUUGGAAAAAUAGCCCUGAAAUUAGCACAAAGAGACUGUUCUAUAGGUUUCAGAGCACCUUGCUGUGAGCCCCACCACCUUUUUUUUUUUUUUUUUUAAAAGCACUAGGGAUUGAACCCAGGGUUACUCAACCCUAAACUGCAUCUCCAGCAUUUUUUAUUUUUAUUUUUAUUUUUUUAUUUAUUUUUUGCUAGGCAAGCACUCUGCCUCUGAGCUACUGCCCUAGCCCUUUUUUGUUAUUUUUUUUGAGAUAGUCUCACUAAAUUGCCCAGGCUGGCCUUGAAUUCAUGUUCCUCCUGCCUCAGCCUCCUGAGUAGCUGGGAUUACAGAAAUAUGCCACCAUUCCUGGCUAUUGAUUUUGUAUGCAGUAUUGGAAUUGGCACAUAGUUCUCAGAAAUAAGGAUUGACUUGAAAUAUUGUAAAAGAGAAGCCACAAGUUUAGAAACUUGUUGUGUUAGAUCUUUGGUCAUGGGGAGAAAUCUAUUACUAGGCUCUGGAUGUGGCUAGAAUCGUAAGGUCUCAUUUUUAGCAUACCACUGUGUGUUUCUUUAAUAUGUUGUAAUCAAUGUGCUGACUUUACAUUGCAGUAUACUUCAUUGUCUUACUUACACCUUUCAAAAUCAAAUGUUAUUUUCACAGGUAUAUUUCACCGUAAUAUAUACUUGCUUUAUUUCCUAUGUAUGUUUGAUUCAGGCUAACAUUUAAUUGAAACAGGUAAAUCAAUGUAUGCUGCAAUUUUAAAGUAGUUUUAUUUUACUGGCCUGGUUGUGUGAUGUAUUUUAUAUAAUUGCUUCAAUCUGAAAUUAGUAAAGUGAAGAUGGCGUUUCAUAAAAACAAAUAUCAAUUAAAAUUU